Molecule: ribosomal RNA, 402 nt
Filed under: uncultured bacterium
Lineage: Bacteria
Description: bacterial SSU rRNA
Rfam family: Bacterial small subunit ribosomal RNA
Source: RNAcentral
AGGGAUAUUGGUCAAUGGGGGAAACCCUGAACCAGCAACGCCGCGUGAGGGAAGACGGUUUUCGGAUUGUAAACCUCUGUCCUCUGUGAAGAUGAUGACGGUAGCAGAGGAGGAAGCUCCGGCUAACUACGUGCCAGCAGCCGCGGUAAUACGUAGGGAGCGAGCGUUGUCCGGAUUUACUGGGUGUAAAGGGUGCGUAGGCGGCUAUGCAAGUCAGUAGUGAAAUCCAUGGGCUUAACCCAUGAACUGCUAUUGAAACUGGGGGCCUUGAGUGGGCGAGAAGAAGGCGGAAUGCGUGGUGUAGCGGUGAAAUGCAUAGAUAUCACACAGAACACCGAUUGCGAAGGCAUCUCACGAAUCCGCGAUUGACGCUGAUGCACGAAAGCGUGGGUAUCAAACAGG